Molecule: ribosomal RNA, 440 nt
Filed under: uncultured bacterium
Lineage: Bacteria
Description: partial 16S ribosomal RNA
Rfam family: Bacterial small subunit ribosomal RNA
Source: RNAcentral
CCUACGGUGGGCAGCAGUGGGGGAUAUUGCACAAUGGGGGAAACCCUGAUGCAGCGACGCCGCGUGUGGGAAGACGGUCCUCUGGAUUGUAAACCACUGUCCCCAGGGACGAAGAUGACGGUACCUGGGGAGGAAGCUCCGGCUAACUACGUGCCAGCAGCCGCGGUAAUACGUAGGGAGCGAGCGUUGUCCGGAAUUACUGGGUGUAAAGGGAGCGUAGGCGGGACUGCAAGUUGGGUGUCAAAUCUACCGGCUCAACCGGUAGCCGCACUCAAAACUGCAGUUCUUGAGUGAAGUAGAGGCAGGCGGAAUGCCUAGUGUAGCGGUGAAAUGCGUAGAGAUUAGGAGGAACACCAGUGGCGAAGGCGGCCUGCUGGGCUUUUACUGACGCUGAGGCUCGAAAGUGUGGGGAGCAAACAGGAUUAGAUACCCCGGUAGUC